Oryza sativa Japonica Group (Japanese rice) is the source of this 907-nucleotide long non-coding RNA. RefSeq lists it as uncharacterized. The record is from RefSeq and is a predicted model, not a curated record. Lineage: Eukaryota; Viridiplantae; Streptophyta; Magnoliopsida; Poales; Poaceae.
CCGUAACACGGCCCGUACCUAUCCGCCCCUUCCCAUCCCGAAACGCCGCCGCCUCCCCCUCCUCAUCGCUCCGCCUCCUAUUGCUGCCGGCCGCCGCUGCAUCCUUCUCCUGAUCUCCUUCCCAUGCCAGGCACCACGGCAACCUUCUCCUCCCCAUCACCGCCUCCUAUCCAUCCCCUUCAGACGUCACCGCUGCACCAUCCAAGCCACGCCACCAGUCCCUCAUCGGACGAGCUCAAGGGUGCCAGAUCCGGGCAGAACGAGCGCCGACGCUGCCUCCUGCCCAUCCCUAUUCUGGGCUCCCCUCGGACGACAUGCACGGGCUGAGCGGCGACGCUGUCGAUGACACGACGACGACGACAUCCUCCUCAGCGAGAUGCUCCAGUCGACCACCCCCGACGGUCUCUGGUUAAUCCACAGCUGCUGCAGCUUUUCCCCCUUUAUUCCUGCUCAUCUUUAGGCCUCCUUCUCCCUGACCUCGCUGUGGAGGAACGAGCUAGACGGCGGCAGCCUUUCAUCCACCGUCAUCCUCAAUUUUGUUUAUUCUCUGGCAAAGAGGCAAUAAAGCUCACCGGAGAUGCACACAAGUUACCAAUGCCGGUGCUCGUUUCUUUAGGUGCAGAACUGGGACUUUAACCACUGUACAAUUCAGUGAGAGAGCAAUGCUCAUGCCAAACAAGGCUGUAGUAAAUGAGAUAUCACAAGACGGUGGAUUCAAUGAUAAGUUAUAUUAUUAUCCUCACUGAAAAUAUUGUCUUACUUUCUAUUCAUUACAAAUAGUUAAAUCUCCUUAUUUCAUCAUUGAUGCUAAUCACAAAGUAUUGAUCAUGUAAUAUCUUUGUAAGGAAAACAUAUUUGAUAUGAACCUCAUAUUGUUUUUAUAAGGAGAAACAAAGUUGAUCUCUCA